CCUACGGGUGGCAGCAGUGAGGAAUAUUGGUCAAUGGCCGAGAGGCUGAACCAGCCAAGUCGCGUGAGGGAAGACGGCCCUACGGGUUGUAAACCUCUUUUGUCGGGGAGCAAAGCGAGUCACGUGUGACUCAUUGAGAGUACCCGAAGAAAAAGCAUCGGCUAACUCCGUGCCAGCAGCCGCGGUAAUACGGGGGGUGCAAGCGUUGUCCGGAAUCAUUGGGCGUAAAGAGUUCGUAGGUGGCACGUUAAGUCUGGUGUUAAAGGCGGAAGCUCAACUUCCGUAGGGCACUGGAUACUGGCGAGCUUGAAUGCGGUAGAGGUAAAGGGAAUUCCUGGUGUAGCGGUGAAAUGCGUAGAUAUCAGGAGGAACAUCGGUGGCGUAAGCGCUUUACUGGGCCGUAAUUGACACUGAGGAACGAAAGCCGGGGUAGCAAAUGGGAUUAGAUACCCGUGUAGUC
Molecule: ribosomal RNA, 460 nt
Filed under: uncultured bacterium
Lineage: Bacteria
Description: partial 16S ribosomal RNA
Rfam family: Bacterial small subunit ribosomal RNA
Source: RNAcentral